AUUAGCUAGUUGGUGAGGUAAGGGCUCACCAAGGCGACGAUCAGUAGCCGGCCUGAGAGGGUGAACGGCCACACUGGAACUGAGACACGGUCCAGACUCCUACGGGAGGCAGCAGUGGGGAAUAUUGCACAAUGGAGGGAACUCUGAUGCAGCGACGCCGCGUGAGUGAAGAAGGUCUUCGGAUCGUAAAACUCUGUCCUUGGUGAAGAAAAGGACGGUAGCCAAGGAGGAAGCCCCGGCUAACUACGUGCCAGCAGCCGCGGUAAUACGUAGGGGGCGAGCGUUGUCCGGAUUUACUGGGCGUAAAGGGUGAGUAGGCGGUUAUAUAUGUCAGGUGUAAAAAGCUAUGGCUUAACCAUAGUAAGCACUUGAAACUGUAUGACUUGAGUGCAGGAGAGGUAAGCGGAAUUCCUAGUGUAGCGGUGAAAUGCGUAGAUAUUAGGAGGAACACCGGUGGCGAAGGCGGCUUACUGGACUGUAACUGACGCUGAGUCACGAAAGCGUGGGUAGCAAACAGGAUUAGAUACCCUGGUAGUCCACGCUGUAAACGAUGAGUGCUAGGUGUUGGGUAGCGAUAUUCAGUGCCGGAGUAAACACAAUA
Molecule: ribosomal RNA, 601 nt
Filed under: uncultured bacterium
Lineage: Bacteria
Description: bacterial SSU rRNA
Rfam family: Bacterial small subunit ribosomal RNA
Source: RNAcentral